AUACUGAGAUUCAUGUUUUUAGAGGUACUUCAUUAGCUAAUUUGUGUUGUGCAUGAUAUAAGGUAUUUUGUUGUUAUAGCUUGAGUCAUGGAUUUAUGGAUUGCUUUGAGCCUUUAUAUGCAUGCCCAAGUGUUAUUAUGAGCUUGGAAGAUAGUAAUGAUGAAUAUUAUAGCUUAGUAUUUGUUGUAUAUUGCAAUAUUUUCUUAUGGGAGUACAUAGACAAGUAUUAAUGUGUAAAUAUUUGGAUGUACUUUUACGAGCUAUCCCUGAUUGAUGCUAAUUUAAUCUGAUAUUUUGUUUGCAUAUAAAUGUGUUUGCUAAGAUCAAUGCUUGAGGUGGAAGAUAUUACAAACUCACUUGAACAAGUGACAUGAACUGUGGGGACUUAGAUAGCAUUUACUGCUUAAAUAUAGGGAUCAGAGAGGUUCAAUCAAGUAUAUUGAUGAGGAAUAAGAAAGAUGGCAGGUUCACAUUUAUGCUUUAAACAUUUGAUUGAUUUAUGCUGAAGUCAUUGUGGCUUGAUGAUAUCUAAAGAAAGAGAGUGUAAUAUUAAUAUGCCUUCUGUUUCUUAGGUACACACUGAGAUUGUCAUGUAUUAAUUUGCUUGUUAUAGAUGAUGUACAAAAUCAUCCAUGGGGGUGUGGUUACUUUGCAAGUUGGAUGACCAUGUAUUCACCAAAGAGUGUGAAAUAAAAUUAUAGAGAAUUUGGAAUGUGGAAUAAUUGAGCGUCAGUCACAACCAGAAUUCUAUAUAUUUGCUUUGUUGAUUCAAACUAUAAGUUGUAUGUGAGAGAUUUGUAGAUUCUGCUUAGAGAACAUCUUGGUUGGCAAAAGUACCUUCGAAUGUGAUAAAUGUCAAUGUCAUGCCAAGGUGGAAUUUCAUAGUUCAAUUCUCAUAUAUUUACUAAGUUAUUGAUUUUAUUUUAUUAUAUCUUUUAAUAUCUUGUAGUUAGCCAUAACUAUUAUAGGCUAAUAUAUCAUAUAUGGAAUUCAUUAAUGAUUUUUCCUGUCUGAUGGCAGUAUGUUUUAAGGGACUCAGCAA
RNAcentral lists this unclassified non-coding RNA (1042 nucleotides) under Hevea brasiliensis (rubber tree). Lineage: Eukaryota; Viridiplantae; Streptophyta; Magnoliopsida; Malpighiales; Euphorbiaceae. The record is from RNAcentral.